This is a non-coding RNA of Exserohilum turcica Et28A, 199 nucleotides long. The record is from the annotation of a RefSeq genome assembly. NCBI's taxonomy places the organism in Eukaryota, Fungi, Ascomycota, Dothideomycetes, Pleosporales, Pleosporaceae.
GGGGAUUUGGUCCAGUGGCAAGACGCUCGCGCCAGGGACAUCAAACGCUUAGCGUUGGGAGCCGAUAUGGCACGGGGCACCUAACCAGUGUUCAUGGGCAGAUUAUUGCACCUAUGCCACCCAAUGUAGCUAUAUGUCUAGAGUCUGUAGCAGACUAUAGAUAUCGCGAGAAACGGAAGUUCGAGUCUUCCAAUACCCA